This 1123-nucleotide long non-coding RNA is filed under the name Vitis vinifera (wine grape). Its description in RNAcentral is "long non-coding RNA (VVIN_LNC001704)". The record is from RNAcentral. Lineage: Eukaryota; Viridiplantae; Streptophyta; Magnoliopsida; Vitales; Vitaceae.
GAGUUAAUCUGCAAGGAAAAGUAGUAUACCCUGCUUAUGCUGCUCUGAGGUAAAACAAAAAAAAAAAAAAUUCUGUUUUGAUAGUUUCUUUCUCAUGAAAAUUUUGAAUAAAAGAAACAACAACUUAUUAAUUGGAAAUAAUUAUAAUGCAAUGUCUAAAGAAAUGGACAAUUAUGCCCUUUUUUUUUCACCUUCUAAAGGAUUACAUUCAUGAUGACAAUUAUGCGUUUUUUUUUCACCUUCUAAAGGAUUACAUCCAUGAUGACCUUUUUCCUUCUUUAGAAAUCAUGUUAUAACUACUUUCACGCAUUGCAAAAGAAUUAGUUCUCAAUUUUUCUUUGUUUCAACAUUUUACAAGCAGAUGAAUCCAAAUAAAAUAAGGAAAACUGAACAUCCAAAAAAUUCUAAUGUGUAUAAUUUAAAUAAACGUACCUGAAUCCAACAGAAGUUUCAUGAAAAAAUUGCAUAUUCAAGCAAAUUAAGACUAGGAACAGAGAGAAAGGUUGAAAUCUUUUAAGGAUCAGGAAACGGCUGACUGAUUUGAUGCACUUCCAAAGGAUAGCUCAAUGGAAAAUUUUAGUUAAUUUCAAUUGACAAACAGAGUCAUGGUCUAUGCUUUGAGUAUAAAAAAGUCUUAACAGUCUGUACAAAUAAGUGUAGGGAAUGCCUAGACAAGUCAUUAUACAUGAAACACAAGACAAUGAGGCAAACCUGUGCAGUAUUAAGAGCUACAUUCUUGCAAUCAGGUAAGAUGCUCACAGACCAUGCAGGCAAGUGAUAUGAAUUGCCACUGAAAUUCACAGUAGCAUCAGAAUUGGUGCGCACAUUGGCAAGAAACGCAGCACAUGACCCUGUCCCUGUUUUAUAGACACUGGCCUGAAAUGGGAAUAAGUCCACAUUAAGAAAUAUUUUUGCAUGCAACUCCACAAAUAAAUCUUUGGCAGUGCAAUUAAUAUCAUAUGAUUAUGAUCAGAGCAUUUUGCAUUCUUGAAGCAUCUAAUCAUGGGAAAGAAAUGGUGUUGUCAAACAGUAAGUAUCUAUCCGUCAGGAAGAAGAAACCAUGCACUUCCGGAGUAGAAACUAUGUGCUUCUGUCCUUGAUUAAGGAGUAAAGAGUAUACCUC